Long non-coding RNA from Mesocricetus auratus (golden hamster), 709 nucleotides. RefSeq lists it as uncharacterized. The transcript is spliced from 3 exons. Lineage: Eukaryota; Metazoa; Chordata; Mammalia; Rodentia; Cricetidae. The record is from RefSeq and is a predicted model, not a curated record.
GACAGUGACAAACAUUUGGGUUGGGGAAGCAGGAGGACAAACCUAUCUUUAGGUUUUUGUUAUUCAGGUCUAUGCUGAUUUCCUGAAAACUGCAAAACUCUUGAAACGAAUGGAUAAUUCAUGCUCUUGCAUUCUAAAAAACCUUUUUAAAAAAAACUUGCUGUUGGGUCGGAUAAGAUUGCUCAGUGGAUAAGUACACUUGUCAAAGAAAGAGGGCCUACGUUCAAAUCUUUAGCACCUCUGUAAAAGCUGGGCAUGGCUGUUUGUUCUUGUAACCACGGACUUGAGAGACAAAAAGGCAGGUGCCAAGAGUUCAUUGGCUGGCCAACCCAAUCAAAACCUCAAGUUUCAGGUUCAGCGAGAGACUGUCUCAAGGACUAAGGGUGAAUCUGUGCUGCUCAUGUAUUCCUGGAUAUGUGACCCUCCCUCAUACAGAACACUAUCUUUCCCUCCCCCGGCAGCCAACAAUGACCGAUCACCACUCCACAGCUAGUGAACUGAGGAUCCACUUAAUACCCCCUUGAUCUCAUGACAUCAGGACACUGGACCAGCUGACGCUUACCAUUGACCUUAUCAUGCAUAAACUGCUCCCCAACUAGAGAAUGUGAUCAACUGUGUUCCAGGUAGAAGAAGUCCAAUACCCCUUGUAUAGAUUGGAAAUGUGUUUAGUGGAUUUUUAAAAGCAUGAAUGCUUUAAUAAAAGUAGAGA